UACAGAGGGUGCAAACGUUGCUCGGAAUUAUUGGGCGUAAAGCGCGUGUAGGCGGCUUGUUAAGUUGGUUGUGAAAACCCAUGGCUCAACCAUGGAAGGGCGUCCAAAACUGGCAAGCUAGAGUCCUGACGAGGAUGGCGGAAUUCCCAGUGUAGAGGUGAAAUUCGUAGAUAUUGGGAGGAACACCGGUGGCGAAGGCGGCCAUCUGGGAAGGCACUGACGCUGAGACGCGAAAGCGUGGGGAGCAAACAGG
RNAcentral lists this ribosomal RNA (253 nucleotides) under uncultured bacterium. RNAcentral describes it as "partial 16S ribosomal RNA". It matches the Rfam family "Bacterial small subunit ribosomal RNA", at positions 524 to 776 of the family's 1533-position model. The record is from RNAcentral.